This is a long non-coding RNA of Prosopis cineraria, 1103 nucleotides long. RefSeq lists it as uncharacterized. The transcript is spliced from 2 exons. The record is from RefSeq and is a predicted model, not a curated record. NCBI's taxonomy places the organism in Eukaryota, Viridiplantae, Streptophyta, Magnoliopsida, Fabales, Fabaceae.
UUAGUUUAAAUGUAUUUUAUUUAUUAUAAUAAGUGUGGGCUUCAACCUAGUUAGUGUAUAGGUUGUUAUUUGUAUAUGUAUAUAUAGGUUCAGGGAUUAUGUUUCUCGCUUGACUGACUGUGUUAGUAUUGUUCAGUUCAAUAAUAGUUGUUUUUUGUCCAGUGUAAUUUUCAACAUCAAGGUUUAAUAGAGAUGAAUCUCAAUCACUCUACCCAAUGUGGCUUUCCUGCAUUGCUGCACUCUUCAUCUCGGAAUGGACAAUGAAAUGCUCUCCGUUGAUGUUCUAUUCUAGGUUGCCAUUUGUCUGCUAAUAAUUUCUAGUCUGAUUCUUGCCAUGGCAGUUCAAUUCCAGUACCAGUUUCGCCCGCUGUUCAAGUCGAAUUCGCUGCCUGUUUCUCAUUCGUGUCCUGCAAGUGCACUUCAAAUGUAAUCUAACCAACAAUGCUGCUAGAUUUUACAAAUGGUAUACUAAGGUCUAUUUAUUCAUUGUUUUGGGGAAAAAACAAGAACAAUCAAAACAACUGUGACUGCCAUUCUCAAGCGUGCAAUGCCCAUUGUUAUAAAGAUGUGCCCUACUUUCUUAUUUAUAAGGUUGUUUCUAUACUAUUUUUUUCAUUUCUAAUUUUAGUUGUGUUAAAAGAUUCACUGGCACUACCAGCAAAUGGCAAUAAAUAUGUUUCUUUUGGGUACAAAUCUGUGGUGGGUGAUGCGAUAAACCAUGAAAGUCGCAAGUAUUGUUUAGGUUUUCUCUUUUCACCAGAGUGAUGUUGAGAAAGAUUUGAGUGCAGAAGUUGCUGCAACAGCGAGCAAGCAACAUUUUUCAGUAACAUUUGGAGUGCAAAAGGAUUAUAUUGCAAGUCAAAACAUAAACCCUGGAGGGCAAAGUUCAGAUUUAAAGUUUGUAUCGUGCAAUUUACCUGGGAGAAGAACUUUAUAUCUCCUUGGAUGUGAUUUAUCUCUAAACAUGUAUUAUGUUGCUGUUGCAAAACUAUAACUUUAUUUGAAGCAGAAAACUUUUUGAACAAAUGGUUUUUGUUUAGGUUUUAGAUAUGGUGAUGUAUGAUGACUACUCUUCUGGUUCUAUUUAUAAGUCACUUCCAACA